AGCACUAAAGGCGUAUGUUAAAGUUGCUGAAGUUAGAAAGCUCGUAGUUGAUGAUGAGGUGUGUGUAUUAUGGAAGAGAGAUUAUUCUAUCAACUAUAAUCACACAUUUAAUAACUUAUAUAUGUCUUUAUAUUAUUAAUUUAAUGUAGAGAAUAAACAUAUAUAUAAUUUACUUUGAAUAAAAUAUAAUGAUAAAAGUAUCCGUUAUAAUGGAUGUAUAAAUAAGCAUAGUAUAAUGAAAAAAGAUUUAUGAUUGGGGAUAUACAAUAGAAAAUAGAUAAUGAGGAAUAGAAAUAGGCGGGGUUAUCUGUAUUUAAUGCGAAGAGGUGAAAUUCUUAGAUUCAUUAAAGACAAACUUAAGCGAAAGCAUUUAACAAGUAUGUUUUCAUUGAUCAAGAAC
This 400-nucleotide ribosomal RNA is filed under the name phytoplankton environmental sample. RNAcentral describes it as "partial small subunit ribosomal RNA". It matches the Rfam family "Eukaryotic small subunit ribosomal RNA", at positions 587 to 984 of the family's 1831-position model. The record is from RNAcentral.